UACGUAGGCAGCGAGCGUUGUUCGGAGUUACUGGGCGUAAAGAGCGCGCAGGCGGUCGUUCAAGUCGCGUGUGAAAGCCCCCGGCUCAACUGGGGAGGGUCACGCGAUACUGAUCGACUCGAAGGCAGGAGAGGGUAGUGGAAUUCCCGGUGUAGUGGUGAAAUGCGUAGAUAUCGGGAGGAACACCAGUGGCGAAGGCGACUACCUGGCCUGUUCUUGACGCUGAGGCGCGAAAGCUAGGGGAGCAAACGGG
This 253-nucleotide ribosomal RNA is filed under the name uncultured bacterium. RNAcentral's name for it is "partial 16S ribosomal RNA". It matches the Rfam family "Bacterial small subunit ribosomal RNA", at positions 524 to 776 of the family's 1533-position model. The record is from RNAcentral.